This 539-nucleotide ribosomal RNA is filed under the name uncultured bacterium. Its description in RNAcentral is "partial 16S ribosomal RNA". It matches the Rfam family "Bacterial small subunit ribosomal RNA", at positions 355 to 887 of the family's 1533-position model. The record is from RNAcentral.
UGGGGAAUUUUGGACAAUGGGGGAAACCCUGAUCCAGCCAUCCCGCGUGUGCGAUGAAGGCCUUCGGGUUGUAAAGCACUUUUGGCAGGAAAGAAACGUCGCGGGUUAAUACCCCGCGAAACUGACGGUACCUGCAGAAUAAGCACCGGCUAACUACGUGCCAGCAGCCGCGGUAAUACGUAGGGUGCAAGCGUUAAUCGGAAUUACUGGGCGUAAAGCGUGCGCAGGCGGUUCGGAAAGAAAGAUGUGAAAUCCCAGAGCUUAACUUUGGAACUGCGUUUUUAACUACCGGGCUAGAGUGUGUCAGAGGGAGGUGGAAUUCCGCGUGUAGCAGUGAAAUGCGUAGAUAUGCGGAGGAACACCGAUGGCGAAGGCAGCCUCCUGGGAUAACACUGACGCUCAUGCACGAAAGCGUGGGGAGCAAACAGGAUUAGAUACCCUGGUAGUCCACGCCCUAAACGAUGUCAACUAGCUGUUGGGGCCUUCGGGCCUUGGUAGCGCAGCUAACGCGUGAAGUUGACCGCCUGGGGAGUACGGUC